UUGAGGAGUAGAGCUGUGUCUGAGGGGUUCGGCUUGGUUUGAGGGAGUUGAAGGGAACCCUUCCGAGAUCUUUCAGGGCCCUGGGUCCUGCCUUCGUUCUGAGGAGGCCUCAUUCCCAAACUGGGCCUGAGGCGGAUAAGUCGCAGGGCAUUCUCAACCUUAUGAUAUUUAAUUCAGACCUGGAAGAAUAAGAUAUGUUGGUAAUUCUCAUCUUUCAUAUUUUCCACAUCAAGAUCAUUAUAUGUACCUAAUACUGCUUCAACUUCUCUUCCAGGUAGCCCGUUGUGGAUAUGCUGCUGUUUUUUGCUUUGGGAUUGCUUGUGCAUUUUGUGUUCUUCGCCUCCAUCUUUGACAUUUAUUUUACCUCUCCUUUGGUUCAUGGAAUGACUCCUCAGGUUACACCAUUGCCUCCUCCAGCAAAAAGAUUA
Molecule: long non-coding RNA, 428 nt
Filed under: Rattus norvegicus (Norway rat)
Lineage: Eukaryota; Metazoa; Chordata; Mammalia; Rodentia; Muridae
Description: long non-coding RNA NONRATT008634
Source: RNAcentral